AGUCUAUAGGGAGCCCAGAUGAUGUAGCCCCGGAGAGAUCAAGUGACCGAGAAGCAUCAUGUGACUACCAGGACUAUAAAAGGAGGUCUCAAGUGAGAGAGUUGCAGGAGGUGCUGAAUCCAAGAGAAGAGCUCUUGUCCGGAGAGCAGUGAUGGAAGGCUGUGGGGGAAAAAACCCAGUGAGGAGACCGGACUUGCAGGGAGCCUGUGAGAGGGGUGAGUCAAGGAGGAACAGACCUGAAGCAAGACAGCACUGGUGUGGGCUGGAGGCUCAGUGUGAUCGAAAGGGGAAGGAUUCUGUGUUUUGGCCAGAUGGCAAAUCACUCAUCCACUAGGAGGAGACUGCAGGCUAUUCUACCUGAGGGAAACUGAGGCAGCAACUAGUAAGCACCUCAACCUGAAAUUUCUGAGCUGCCAGCAGUGUUCACAGAAUCACAAGCAGCCUUAAACAAUACCCCAAAAAUCAGGGGAUUGUAAUAAUUUGCAAGAGAUUUUUAAAACUGCACCACAUUUUAGAGCAUGCUUCACAAACCAUUAACAUAACAGAUGUGGGUAGUGGGAAAAUUGAAUGAAUUGUUUUAUCUGUCACCU
Molecule: long non-coding RNA, 590 nt
Organism: Mauremys reevesii (Reeves's turtle)
Lineage: Eukaryota; Metazoa; Chordata; Testudines; Geoemydidae
Exons: 3
Source: RefSeq, a predicted model, not a curated record